GACGAACGCUGGCGGCGUGCUUAACACAUGCAAGUCGAACGAAGAGCGACGGAAGCUUACUUCUAUCAAUCUUAGUGGCGAACGGGUGAGUAACGCGUAAUCAACCUGCCCUUCAGAGGGGGACAACAGUUGGAAACGACUGCUAAUACCGCAUACGAUCUAAUCUCGGCAUCGAGGAUAGAUGAAAGGUGGCCUCUACAUGUAAGCUAUCACUGAAGGAGGGGAUUGCGUCUGAUUAGCUAGUUGGAGGGGUAACGGCCCACCAAGGCGAUGAUCAGUAGCCGGUCUGAGAGGAUGAACGGCCACAUUGGGACUGAGACACGGCCCAGACUCCUACGGGAGGCAGCAGUGGGGAAUCUUCCGCAAUGGACGAAAGUCUGACGGAGCAACGCCGCGUGAGUGAUGACGGCCUUCGGGUUGUAAAGCUCUGUUAAUCGGGACGAAAGGCCUUCUUUGCGAAUAGUGAGAAGGAUUGACGGUACCGGAAUAGAAAGCC
This 496-nucleotide ribosomal RNA is filed under the name Veillonella parvula. RNAcentral's name for it is "bacterial SSU rRNA". It matches the Rfam family "Bacterial small subunit ribosomal RNA", at positions 28 to 492 of the family's 1533-position model. The record is from RNAcentral. Lineage: Bacteria; Bacillati; Bacillota; Negativicutes; Veillonellales; Veillonellaceae.